UGAGGCCCGAGAGCGCCCCCCGCCUCAGCCCGGCGUGUGCCCUGUCUGGCCCGCGCCGGGGGGACGCGACCACGCGGGGACACCUGGGUUCCCCCCACCCUAAAACGGCAGGGCUCCGGGAGAGAUUCUCCUCAGCCUAGCGACCCGGCAUUUAAGGACGCAGGAGCCAGCGGGGGACCUUCGGACUUCUCCAGCCGUGUUCCUGCAAGCGGAGAAUUUUCCACCCGGGCUCCAGAAGAGGCAGACCCCCAACCACCACCCCGGCCCGACCCAUCCCGCCACGGGAUCAUCUCAGCUCCGAGCCGAGCGCCUUCUGUGGGGGCAGCUAGACCGGCUCUUGUUCCUGAGGGCCAGAUCCAGCCGCUUAUUGGAUGUCUCCACCGCGAGGCCGAGCAGAGAACAGAAUUGAUUGUGGCAUCUGCCUUCCACCACCACCAGCCUGCUCCUCCCCGUGUGGUUCCCUGCUUUGAUGAGCAGACGCGGCCCUCUACUGCACUAACUUGAGUGCUUCCUCUGUCUCUCUCCUUCUCCCGACCCUACUACAUCAAGUCACUUCCACCUGAACCUACCCAGGGGGACUCUCGUCCCUUCCUAGCCUGGCCGCUCGCUUCCUUCCAGUCACUCUGCUGUCCACUUUCAACCUUCACACUUGUGGCCCGGAUCCUCUUUUUAAAAAAACACAGAAGUCACUCAAGUGAUCAGCUGUGCAUUUGGAAUCAGAACACUGAAGUUUGAGGAAACAAGAAAGGAAAAAGUGAAUUUCAAGCCUCCAAAAUUCAGGACCCACUUUGGGGAUUAAAGAUCUUUCUGGUGGCUCAGACGGUAAAGAAUCCGCCUGCAAUGCCGGAGACCCGGGUUCGAUCCCUGUUUGGGAAGAUCCCCUGGAGAAAGAAAUGGCAACCCACUCCAGUACUCUUGCGUGGAAAAUCCCAUGGACGGAGGAGCCUGCUGGGCUACAGUCUAAUGGGUUGCAAAGAGCCGGACAGGAUUGAGCAACUUUACUUGGGGAUUAACACCACAAUUUACUUCCUGAUGAAGAAUGCUUAUGAAAUUUCACCUGCAUGGUCCUGGCAACACUAUUAAGAGAUUUGUAAGAACAGACCAGCCAUAGGGAUGGAGCCAGUAAUUUGCUUGCCUUUUCCAGAUGACUUUCAGGUGAUUAAAUACAGAAGGAAAAGGAAUUAAGGAGUCAAGUGCCUGUCACCUGAGCUUUGUGAUUAUUUCAAAAUGCUUUCUUUGGAAGCCACAUGAGAAGUCUGGCUUCUGAUUUCAUCUUCCAUUUCACAUCCUAUUGACAAACUGCCCCUGCCACCAGCCUCUUAAUAUAGUAGAAUUGUUGUUCAGUCGUUCGGUCAUGUCUGACUUUUUGUGACCCCAUGGACUGCAGCAUGCUAGGCUUCCCUGUCCUUCACUAUCUCCAGGAGUUUGCUCAAACUCAUGUUCAUUGAGUCAGUGAUGCCAUCCAACCAUCUCAUCCUCUCUCGCCCCAGGGAUUUUUUUUUUUUUUUUAAUCCCUUGGCAUUCUCUAGAACAGAAUUUUUUUGAGAUGCGGGGUUGUCCCAUGGCCUUCUCCUACCUCCUCCUUCCUCUAUGCCUUGAAAACAAACAGAGAGGCCCUACUCCUCUAAAGAACUUCAGGGCCACUUACUGUAGCAAACCUAUGAUGUAAGUGCAGAGGUUGACAAAGGAUGUUAGGAAGCCCCUGCCUUCAAACAGCCAGGUCUUUGGCUUUUGCCACAGAAACUCAUUUUCCUCCAGACCAGAGUUCAACCCAAAGUGAAUGCUGCUGGAAGGAAAUUUCACUCUGCCUCUGUUCUUACAAGCUGUGGGACCUACACAAAUUACUUAGCUAGUUUCUUGACCAAUGCUGUCUUUACGCCAGAGGUAAACUGACACCAGGGGCUUCCGAGGUUGCUCAGUGGUUAAAAACUCUGCCUGCCAGUGCAGGAGACCUGAGUUCCAUCCCUGCAUCGGGAAGAUCCCCUGGAGUAGGAAAUGGCAGCCCACUCCAGUAUUCUUGCCUGGAGAAUCCCACGGACAGAGGAGCCUGG
Bos taurus (domestic cattle) is the source of this 2051-nucleotide long non-coding RNA. The record is from Ensembl. Lineage: Eukaryota; Metazoa; Chordata; Mammalia; Artiodactyla; Bovidae.